AUGACGAGGCAUGAAGCAAAUAUUGAUGAUGAUAGGUGCGAAGAAGAAGAGGCUAGAGACAUAUCUGCACGCGAAGCUGCUAUGCCUGCAGAUCAGCAUGUAGUUUCAGGUGCAUGUAUCCCUUUUGAUGACUUGAUGCUUAGACUUCAGAAUGAUCCAAGAGUAGCUCUAUACGACGGCGUAGAAACGGAUUAUGAUGAUAUAGACUGGGACCUGGAUCUAGGACAAUAUGGUGCUGAACUUAUUCGACCAUUGAGUCAAGGAUCUGUGGCAUUUCAUUUGGAAGAAACUACAGGGGAGGCCGACAAUCAGACCCGGGCGGUCUGGGGGAGCACGUUUGCCUCUCGCCUACUGAGCGAUGCCCAGUUCUCUCCUGCUGGUGAAAUUCAAACCCAGGUAUGCCAGGAACAUCAAACAUUGGCGCGAAGCUCAAAAACAGUUGCUGCUAGGGCUAGGGCUCUACAUUGUCAUCGCCAAACCAGCAAGUCAAAGAUUUCGGAGCCUGCUGCUACCGAGCCUGCCAAAGCUUCUUCCUAUCAGACACACGGCCGAGCUCGGAAGAGCAAAACCUCUUCGCUAUCCUGUCACAAAUCAACCAACGCAGUACAUGUUGCUGUGUUACAUAAUGAUAAACCAUGUGUAACUCGCAAGCAGUCGGGAAAGAGGCCCUCGAAGCUAGUGUUGCCCUUCCAGAGUAAAGUCAAAAAAGGUGCAAAAAAGACAGCUGCAGAGACACUUGAUAGGAAGGAAGAAGCUGCAAAAAUGAAGGCUGCAGAGGCUGAAGCAAGGAAGAAGGCAGCUGCCGCGAAGAAAGGAGCAAGGAAGCUAGCAGCUGCGAUGAAGAGGGCAGAUGGUAAAGAGGCCAAGAAGAAAGCAUCUGCAGAGAAGAAAACCCCAUCUACUGCUAAAACAAUAAAAGAGAACUUCGGUUUUGACAUUUUCAGGGCUUAG
This 951-nucleotide ribosomal RNA is filed under the name Triticum aestivum (bread wheat). RNAcentral describes it as "partial small subunit ribosomal RNA". Lineage: Eukaryota; Viridiplantae; Streptophyta; Magnoliopsida; Poales; Poaceae. The record is from RNAcentral.